GGAACGUGCGCAAGCUGACCUGUGUAUUCUCAACAUUGUAAGCAUCAGAUGAAAGUCGGUGCCAAGCAUUCAUCGACAGUUUCAGCAAGGUAGGGAUUCUCCAAUGCUGCUGCUACACGCUCUUUAUCGUUCAACUGCUUGUUCACAGUAGCUUCAGUAGCAUGACUUCCAGGUGCCACCCUGAUGUCGACCUUGAAUCGAGA
Molecule: unclassified non-coding RNA, 203 nt
Filed under: Hevea brasiliensis (rubber tree)
Lineage: Eukaryota; Viridiplantae; Streptophyta; Magnoliopsida; Malpighiales; Euphorbiaceae
Source: RNAcentral